CUCUUUUGCAGGAUUGUCGGCUUGUAUCAGGAGAUUGUUGGAAAAUAAUCAUGAAGCCACACAAAGGAUUCAAACAUUAGAGAUUCUGGAGAGUGCUGUCACCAAAGAGAAGGACAAGUUCAAGCAAUCUGUGGAUGAAGAAAAGAAAAAGAUCCAAGACUUGGAAAAUCACCUGAGAAGUAUGACUGAGAUCAUGUUAAAGCAGCAGUUACUCAUGCAAGACGAACAGCUAAAGAUCACUCAGGAUGAGAACGAGUYACUGAAGCAGAAAAUUCAG
This 277-nucleotide long non-coding RNA is filed under the name Apteryx rowi (Okarito brown kiwi). RNAcentral's name for it is "lncRNA (ENSARWG00000013294.1)". Lineage: Eukaryota; Metazoa; Chordata; Aves; Apterygiformes; Apterygidae. The record is from RNAcentral.